This 798-nucleotide ribosomal RNA is filed under the name uncultured bacterium. Its description in RNAcentral is "bacterial SSU rRNA". It matches the Rfam family "Bacterial small subunit ribosomal RNA", at positions 28 to 829 of the family's 1533-position model. The record is from RNAcentral.
GAUAAACGCUGGCGGCGUGCAUGAGACAUGCAAGUCAUACGGGCGAGCUUGCUCGCUAGUGGCGGACGGCUGAGUAACGCGUAGGUGACCUACCCCGAAGUGGGGAAUAGCUGCCCGAAAGGGUGGCUAAUACCGCAUGUGAUGGAACGUUCAUUCAUUCCAUUAAAGCAGUAAUGCGCGUCGGGAGGGGCCUGCGUCCGAUUAGCUCGUUGGUGGGGUAACGGCUCACCAAGGCGACGAUCGGUAGGUGGUCUGAGAGGACGAUCACCCAGACUGGGACUGAGACACGGCCCAGACUCCUACGGGAGGCAGCAGUCGGGAAUUGUUCGCAAUGGGCGAAAGCCUGACGACGCAACGCCGCGUGGAGGAUGAAGAAUUUCGGUUCGUAAACUCCUUUCGACCGAGAUGAACACCCGCCGAUUUAAUACAUUGGCGGACUGACAGUAUCGAGAGAAGAAGCCCCGGCUAACUCUGUGCCAGCAGCCGCGGUAAUACAGGGGGGGCAAGCGUUGUUCGGAAUUACUGGGCGUAAAGGGUUCGUAGGUGGCCAACUAAGUCAGAUGUGAAAUCCCUCAGCUUAACUGGGGAACUGCUUCUGAAACUGAUUGGCUUGAGUGCAGGAGAGGAAUGCGGAAUUCCAGGUGUAGCGGUGAAAUGCGUAGAUAUCUGGAGGAACACCGGUGGCGAAGGCGGCAUUCUGGACUGUAACUGACACUGAGGAACGAAAGCCAGGGGAGCAAACGGGAUUAGAUACCCCGGUAGUCCUGGCCCUAAACGAUGAAUGCUUGGUGUGGCGGG